Molecule: ribosomal RNA, 444 nt
Filed under: uncultured bacterium
Lineage: Bacteria
Description: partial 16S ribosomal RNA
Rfam family: Bacterial small subunit ribosomal RNA
Source: RNAcentral
GUAGGGAAUAUUGGGCAAUGGUCGGAAGACUGACCCAGCCAUGCCGCGUGCAGGAAGACGGCCCUCUGGGUUGUAAACUGCUUUUAUCUGGGAAGAAAAAGGCCAUGCGUUGCAAAUUGCCGGUACCAGAUGAAUAAGCACCGGCUAACUCCGUGCCAGCAGCCGCGGUAAUACGGAGGGUGCGAGCGUUGUCCGGAUUUAUUGGGUUUAAAGGGUGCGUAGGCGGCUGAUUAAGUCAGCGGUGAAAGACUUCGGCUUAACCGGAGCAGUGCCGUUGAUACUGGUUGGCUUGAGUGUCGGAGGGGUACAUGGAAUUGAUGGUGUAGCGGUGAAAUGCAUAGAUACCAUCAGGAACACCGAUAGCGAAGGCAUUGUACUGGCCGACAACUGACGCUGAUGCACGAAAGUGUGGGGAUCGAACAGGAUUAGAAACCCCGGUAGUCC